RNAcentral lists this transfer RNA (84 nucleotides) under Candidatus Moraniibacteriota bacterium. RNAcentral's name for it is "tRNA-Leu". It matches the Rfam family "tRNA". Rfam says of the family: Transfer RNA (tRNA) molecules are approximately 80 nucleotides in length. The record is from RNAcentral. Lineage: Bacteria; Candidatus Moraniibacteriota.
GCCCGGAUGGCGGAAUUGGUAGACGCGCUGGACUCAAAAUCCAGUGAUAGCAAUAUCGUGAGAGUUCGAGUCUCUCUCUGGGCA